This 430-nucleotide ribosomal RNA is filed under the name Pseudomonadota bacterium. RNAcentral's name for it is "Proteobacteria bacterium partial 16S ribosomal RNA". It matches the Rfam family "Bacterial small subunit ribosomal RNA", at positions 355 to 776 of the family's 1533-position model. The record is from RNAcentral. Lineage: Bacteria; Pseudomonadati; Pseudomonadota.
UGGGGAAUAUUGGACAAUGGGGGGAACCCUGAUCCAGCCAUGCCGCGUGUGUGAAGAAGGCCUUAUGGUUGUAAAGCACUUUAAGCGAGGAGGAGGGUACUGGUAUUAAUACUACCAGCUACUGGACGUUACUCGCAGAAUAAGCACCGGCUAACUCUGUGCCAGCAGCCGCGGUAAUACAGAGGGUGCAAGCGUUAAUCGGAAUUACUGGGCGUAAAGCGCGCGUAGGUGGUUCGUUAAGUUGAAUGUGAAAGCCCCGGGCUCAACCGGGGAACUGCAUCCAAAACUGGCGAGCUAGAGUAGGGCAGAGGGUGGUGGAAUGUCCUGUGUAGCGGUGAAAUGCGUAGAUAUAGGAAGGAACACCGGUGGCGAAGGCGACCACCUGGGCUCAUACUGACACUGAGGUGCGAAAGCGUGGGGAGCAAACAGG